Otolemur garnettii (small-eared galago) is the source of this 107-nucleotide small nuclear RNA. Lineage: Eukaryota; Metazoa; Chordata; Mammalia; Primates; Galagidae. The record is from Ensembl.
GUGCUUGCUUCCGCAGCACAUAUACUAAAAUUGGAAUGAUACAGAGAAGAUUAGCAUGGCCCCUGUGCAAGGAUGACACUCAAAUUCGUGAAGCAUUCCAUAUUAAA